This is an unclassified non-coding RNA of Bradysia coprophila, 2173 nucleotides long. NCBI's taxonomy places the organism in Eukaryota, Metazoa, Arthropoda, Insecta, Diptera, Sciaridae. The record is from RefSeq and is a predicted model, not a curated record.
AAUGAAAAUAAAAACUUUUUUUUAGUAAAAAAUGCCUUCCAAGGAAGUUGCACGACAGAAUCGAGUUUGUAUAGUUCCAGUGUGUAAUGCUAAGAAUUCUGACUAUCCGGAGCGGAUAUUUUUUGCUGUGCCCGAAACUAAGAAGAAACAAUGGCUGGAACUAGUCGGAGGGGACAUCAGCUGUAUUAAACCAAAGAAACGUCUCUUUUGUUGUGAAAAUCACUUUGACGUACGAAAGGAUGUCGAGGGCUACGAUUUCUACAAAUAUUUUGGUGGUAGAAUUAAGCUGAUGGAUAAUGCAGUUCCAUCGAAACAGUUAGGUGAUUACAGUGAGUUCGAGAAAGUAGAAGAAGUUUUGCCGAAAGAAGAACCUUGCUUCGAACAAUGUGAUGAGUCUGUAGACCCGUUGUCGAUCUCUGACGAUAGAGAUGCUGUGAGUGAAACGCAAACUCCAGAGUGCGAGACAGAUAAAGUUGAAAUCAAAAUUGAACCAGACUGGCCUCCUGAUGAAUUGAAUGUUUCAUGCCCAGGACGUAGUGAGGAAAUCGUUGUCAAAUCUGAUGUGUACUUGUCCGACGACGACGAUGACAACAGUGAUAUUGGAGAAAUAAAGACCGAUGACGAUUCAAGUGUGGACUCCUAUCCGAUGGUCAAGAAAAAAUCGAGUCGAUCCGCCAAAAUUAACUCCAAAACUUCGAAGCACCGUUGUCCGAUUUGCGGGAAAAAUAUGUCAUCGCUGCGAUCGUUAAGGCGCCAUACCCAGUCACUCCACGAUGACCACGACACCACUAACAACCACGAGAACAUUGAAUGUGAAUCGAAAACAGACGACGAGCCCGAUGGAAAACUUAUCUCGUGUACAGAAUGCAAUAAGACGUUUUCCAGUCGGGACGAUUACCUGAAGCACAGCAUAAACCACAAAAAGACAUUCGAAUGCGAUGUUUGCCAGAAAGUGUUUCGAACGAGACUACAUCUGAAAGUUCAUUUCCCGACACACAUGGCGGUGAAACCGUAUCUGUGCGAGGUGUGUUCGCGUCCGUUUGCUAGAGCCAAUAAUCUUCGCAGGCACAAACUGACACACGUUACAGAUAAACGGUACAUAUGCGAUGAAUGUGGCAAACGAUUUCCUGCAAACUACUUGCUCAGGCAGCAUAAGGCCAAAUCACAUUCGGAAGUGGCUCGAGUACUUUGCUCCAAGUGUUCGAAGACAUUUACAUCGGUGGCACAUCUGAAAGUUCACAUCAAUGUACAUCACAGCGACGUUAAUCCAUACAGAUGUGAAAUUUGCAAAAUCAAAUUCAGUCAACCAUCGGCGCUGCUAACACAUCGCAAAAAGUUUCACGACCCCAACAGUACCUUUCUUUGCAACAAAUGUCCGCGAAAAUUUCCAUCACAAUUUGAACUGGAAGGUCAUACAAAGGCAGCUCAUCCGCACCGUGCCAAAGAGAAAACGAUCAACAGGUGCGACGACUGCAACAUUACCCUACAUAGUCCAUAUCGCUUAAAACUGCACCGGUUAAAGCUUCACAAUCCAGAGUUCCAACACAAAUGUGCCACUUGCCAACAAACAUUUCCAACCGAGUUUUUGAUGAGCCAGCAUGCGUUACGUACUCACGCUCCCGAACACGAGUACGUGUACAAAUGCUACAUCUGCCCGAAGAAAUACAAUCAGGAGGCUGCGUUAAAGCGACAUGUCAAGCUACAUACCGACCCAAAGAAACCAGUCACCUGUGAAUUAUGCGAAACCAUAUUGGGACGACCGAAUCGUUUAAAGCCGCACAUGAGAGCACUUCACAAUCCAAACAAUCCCUACAAGUGUACCAUUUGUCUUCAGACAUUCCGCGAACAGAAAAUACUGAACAGUCACACCACCCAGGUGCACGAACAAACAAUAUUAUGCGAGUACUGCAACAAAUCGUUUAGCAAACGACAUGGGCUGAGGCGGCAUAUACGACAGUUUCAUCUUGUGCAGGCACCAGAGGAGAAUGAGUAAGAGUUCGGUAAGACGAAGGUUUUGUUAUUUUCACUGGAAUCGAUUGUAUCGUUUGGGUGUGUUAGUUUGGUUAAUUUUAGCGAAGAAAUAUAAUUCAAUGGAAAACUUAAAAGUACUUGUUUCGGAUUGAACUCCGAGUUCCGCUUAAAACUGAGGUCAGGUCAUAUGCUCAGCAUUCUG